RNAcentral lists this unclassified non-coding RNA (863 nucleotides) under Bradyrhizobium sp. RNAcentral's name for it is "partial 16S-23S ribosomal RNA intergenic spacer". The stretch from base 175 to 248 matches the Rfam family "tRNA". The record is from RNAcentral. Lineage: Bacteria; Pseudomonadati; Pseudomonadota; Alphaproteobacteria; Hyphomicrobiales; Nitrobacteraceae.
GCGAGCCUCAGCUCACUAUCGGAUCGUUUUAGAAACAUCAGUGGCCAACGGUCGUCAGGAUCGUUGAGCUGCAUUGGCGGGAUUUCGCCGUCUACGUUUCUCUUUCUUCGCGGACGAACACGCGCUGGGCCUGCAUGGUUGCAGGAUCCCGGUCCUUAACAGGAUAUGCGUUAGGGGCUUGUAGCUCAGUUGGUUAGAGCGCGCGCUUGAUAAGCGUGAGGUCGGAAGUUCAAGUCUUCCCAGGCCCACCACACUCGUCGAGUGAGCAUUCGUCUUCUGGUUACGGGGCCAUAGCUCAGCUGGGAGAGCGCGUGCUUUGCAAGCAUGAGGUCGUCGGUUCGAUCCCGUCUGGCUCCACCAGAUGGUUUGAUCAUCGACUGAUCGUGCAACUAAAUCGUCCGCGAUACAUCACUUCGCAUCUUGCUAGUCUGGAUAGACAGCAAGUUGCGUGAUUUCUGACAUCGUAAAGAGGAGAUCGAUCCGAGUUGGGUCGUGCAGCAAGCAAUUGCCACGCGACACUUCAUUAUCUCCGGAUCAUUUCGGCGCUCGUGCGUCUUUCAAGGUAGCUCACAAGGCUGCAUUUGAGAGGCGAGCGAGUUGUAAAUGAUCCUUUUAGCGAAGCUUGACCGCCUCGCUAUCGGAACGAUCUUACGAAGCAAGCUGGUCUUUCUAAUCAUUGUCCGGCUGCAGAUAGCGUUCAUCGAGGGCGCGUGCCGCAAGGCAAUUCUGCAGACAACAUUCUGCCGAGUGUGUGGACAUUGAUAAUGAGAGCAAUCAAGUGCCUUAAGGGUGUUCGGUGGAUGCCUUGGCGCUGAGAGGCGAUGAAGGACGUGCUACGCUGCGAUAAGCCGUGGGAGCUGCGA